Long non-coding RNA from Dreissena polymorpha, 352 nucleotides. RefSeq lists it as uncharacterized. The transcript is spliced from 3 exons. The record is from RefSeq and is a predicted model, not a curated record. Lineage: Eukaryota; Metazoa; Mollusca; Bivalvia; Myida; Dreissenidae.
AAUAGCAGAAAAGAAAAGGAAAAUCAACUGGACAGAAGAAGAAAGAGAGAUUUUAAUAGAACAGUGCACCAGCGAAACUGGCCGGAAGAUCAACCUAAAAUUUAGCAACGAAAUAUCGACAAAAGAUAAAGCCAUUUUCUGGGGAAAGACAGCAGAAAGAUAUCCUCGAAUGACCAAAUUCCGUGGGGGAUUAACAGCAUAUCAAUGUGUCAGCGCACUGCUGAUGAAGUGAAAAAGAAAUGGAUAGACACAAAGUCUAGUGCAAAGAAGAAGGCACAAUCUAUGAGCUGGGCAGAACAGGCGGCGGGCCCUAUUCAGGUGGUCUGACAAACCUGGAAGAGUAGUAUUUAUG